UUGGGGUGGGGUGACUGCGUACCUUUUGUAUAAUGGGUCAGCGACUUAUAUUCUGUAGCAAGGUUAACCGUAUAGGGGAGCCGAAGGGAAACCGAGUCUUAACCGGGCGUUAAGUUGCAGGGUAUAGACCCGAAACCCGGUGAUCUAGCCAUGGGCAGGUUGAAGGUUGGGUAACACUAACUGGAGGACCGAACCGACUAAUGUUGAAAAAUUAGCGGAUGACUUGUGGCUGGGGGUGAAAGGCCAAUCAAACCGGGAGAUAGCUGGUUCUCCCCGAAAGCUAUUUAGGUAGCGCCUCGUGAACUCAUCUUCGGGGGUAGAGCACUGUUUCGGCUAGGGGGUCAUCCCGACUUACCAACCCGAUGCAAACUGCGAAUACCGAAGAAUGUUAUCACGGGAGACACACGGCGGGUGCUAACGUCCGUCGUGAAGAGGGAAACAACCCAGACCGCCAGCUAAGGUCCCAAAGUCACAGUUAAGUGGGAAACGAUGUGGGAAGGCUCAGACAGCCAGGAUGUUGGCUUAGAAGCAGCCAUCAUUUAAAGAAAGCGUAAUAGCUCACUGGUCGAGUCGGCCUGCGCGGAAGAUGUAACGGGGCUAAACUGUGCACCGAAGCUGCGGCAGCGACGCUUAUGCGUUGUUGGGUAGGGGAGCGUUCUGUAAGCCUGCGAAGGUGUCCUGUGAGGGAUGCUGGAGGUAUCAGAAGUGCGAAUGCUGACAUAAGUAACGAUAA
RNAcentral lists this ribosomal RNA (733 nucleotides) under Salmonella enterica subsp. enterica serovar Kentucky. Its description in RNAcentral is "partial 23S ribosomal RNA". It matches the Rfam family "Bacterial large subunit ribosomal RNA", at positions 583 to 1315 of the family's 2925-position model. The record is from RNAcentral. Lineage: Bacteria; Pseudomonadati; Pseudomonadota; Gammaproteobacteria; Enterobacterales; Enterobacteriaceae.